Molecule: long non-coding RNA, 366 nt
Organism: Ruditapes philippinarum (Manila clam)
Lineage: Eukaryota; Metazoa; Mollusca; Bivalvia; Venerida; Veneridae
Exons: 3
Source: RefSeq, a predicted model, not a curated record
UUACACAAUAGGGUAUGUAAGUCUCGUCAUGUGACUUGCGAGAUUUCACGAUAUUUUGCACUUCCGGGUACAAACAAAUAUCAACAACAUUGCUUAUCUAUAUUGGGUAAUACUUGUAUGCCGGUGGGAAAGUAAAACUUACAUGGAAAAGCAAAUGAUAUGUGGAAAUUGGCAGAGUUUUUUGUUUUGUAACGAAAUGCAAAUGGUUUCAUCUUGUGAACAAGUAUCAAUGAAAGACAACUUCGUAUAAUCUUCAGAUAUUUUGACUGAGGACAGUGGUGAGAUGAAAGACGUCAGUAUCCGAUGUAAAUACACAUGCAUGCUCUGCUGUAAAAUCGUUUUGGUAUGUGAUUUCAUGGUUUUAUC